GAUGAACGCUGGCGGCGUGCCUAAUACAUGCAAGUCGAGCGAACAGACGAGGAGCUUGCUCCUCUGACGUUAGCGGCGGACGGGUGAGUAACACGUGGAUAACCUACCUAUAAGACUGGGAUAACUUCGGGAAACCGGAGCUAAUACCGGAUAAUAUAUUGAACCGCAUGGUUCAAUAGUGAAAGACGGUUUUGCUGUCACUUAUAGAUGGAUCCGCGCCGCAUUAGCUAGUUGGUAAGGUAACGGCUUACCAAGGCAACGAUGCGUAGCCGACCUGAGAGGGGGAUCGGCCACACUGGAACUGAGACACGGUCCAGACUCCUACGGGAGGCAGCAGUAGGGAAUCUUCCGCAAUGGGCGAAAGCCUGACGGAGCAACGCCGCGUGAGUGAUGAAGGUCUUCGGAUCGUAAUACUCUGUUAUUAGGGAAGAACAAAUGUGUAAGUAACUAUGCACGUCUUGACGGUACCUAAUCAGAAAGCCACGGCUAACUACGUG
RNAcentral lists this ribosomal RNA (497 nucleotides) under uncultured bacterium. Its description in RNAcentral is "partial 16S ribosomal RNA". It matches the Rfam family "Bacterial small subunit ribosomal RNA", at positions 28 to 507 of the family's 1533-position model. The record is from RNAcentral.